AGAGUUUGAUUCUGGCUCAGGAUGAACGCUGGCGGCGCGCUUAACACAUGCAAGUCGAACGGUUAAAGCACCUUCGGGUGUGUAUAAAGUGGCGAACGGCUGAGUAACACGUGGGCAACCUGCCCCUCGCACCGGGAUAGCCUCGGGAAACCGUGGGUAAUACCGGAUACUCCGCCCACCCCGCAUGGGGAGGGCGGAAAGCGUACACGGCGGGGGAUGGGCCCGCGGCCUGUUAGCUCGUUGGCGGGGUAACGGCCCACCAAGGCGACUAUGGGUAGCCGGGUUGAGAGACCGACCGGCCAGAUUGGGACUGAGACACGGCCCAGACUCCUACGGGAGGCAGCAGUGGGGAAUCUUGCACAAUGGGCGAAAGCCUGAUGCCAGCGACGCCGCGUGCGGGAAGAAGGCCCUCGGGUUGUAAACCGCUUUCAGCAGGGACGAGGCGCGAGUGACGGUACCUGCAGAAGAAGCCCCGGCUAACUACGUGCCAGCCGCGGC
RNAcentral lists this ribosomal RNA (498 nucleotides) under uncultured bacterium. RNAcentral's name for it is "bacterial SSU rRNA". It matches the Rfam family "Bacterial small subunit ribosomal RNA", at positions 8 to 518 of the family's 1533-position model. The record is from RNAcentral.